CAGUCGCCGCGGUAAUACGUAGAUGGCAAGCGUUGUCCGGAAUUAUUGGGCGUAAAGGGCUCGCAGGCGGUUUCUUAAGUCUGAAGUUAAAGGCAUUGGCUCAACCAAUGUAUGCUUUGGAAACUGUUAGACUUGAGUGCAGAAGGGGAGAGUGGAAUUCCAUGUAUAGCGGUGAAAUGCGUAGAUAUAUGGAGGAACACCGGUGGCGAAAGCGGCUCUCUGGUCUGUCACUGACGCUGAGGCUCGAAAGCGAGGGUAGCGAACAGGAUUAGAUACCCCCGUAGUCCCUGUCUCUUAUACA
Molecule: ribosomal RNA, 301 nt
Filed under: uncultured bacterium
Lineage: Bacteria
Description: partial 16S ribosomal RNA
Rfam family: Bacterial small subunit ribosomal RNA
Source: RNAcentral